AGAUUGAACGCUGGCGGCAUGCUUUACACAUGCAAGUCGAACGGCAGCACGGGGGCAACCCUGGUGGCGAGUGGCGAACGGGUGAGUAAUGCAUCGGAACGUAUCCUUGAGUGGGGGAUAACGCAGCGAAAGUUGUGCUAAUACCGCAUAAGCUCUGAGGAGGAAAGCGGGGGACCGAAAGGCCUCGCGCAGCAGGAUGAGCCGAUGUCCGAUUAGCUAGUUGGUGGGGUAACGGCCUACCAAGGCGACGAUCGGUAGCUGGUCUGAGAGGAUGAUCAGCCACACUGGGACUGAGACACGGCCCAGACUCCUACGGGAGGCAGC
RNAcentral lists this ribosomal RNA (324 nucleotides) under uncultured prokaryote. RNAcentral's name for it is "bacterial SSU rRNA". It matches the Rfam family "Bacterial small subunit ribosomal RNA", at positions 26 to 352 of the family's 1533-position model. The record is from RNAcentral.